GAUGAACGCUGGCGGCGUGCCUAAUACAUGCAAGUAGAACGCUGAAGGAGGAGCUUGCUCUUCUGGAUGAGUUGCGAACGGGUGAGUAACGCGUAGGUAACCUGCCUGGUAGCGGGGGAUAACUAUUGGAAACGAUAGCUAAUACCGCAUGACAACAGUUAUUGCAUGAUAACUGUUUAAAAGGGGCAACUGCUCCACUACCAGAUGGACAUGCGUUGUAUUAGCUAGGUGGUGAGGUAACGGCUCACCAAGGCGACGAUACAUAGCCGACCAGAGAGGGUGAUCGGCAACACUGGGACUGAGACACGGCCCACACUCCUGCGAGAGGCAGCAGUAGGGAAUCUUCGGCAAUGGACGGAAGGCUGACCGUGCAACGCCGCGUGAGUGAAUAAUGCUGUCGGAUCGUAAAGCUCUGUUGUGAGAGAAGAUCGUGUGUGAGAGUUGAAAGUGCACACAGUGACGGUAUCUGACCAGAAAGCGACGGCUAACUACGUG
RNAcentral lists this ribosomal RNA (495 nucleotides) under uncultured bacterium. RNAcentral describes it as "partial 16S ribosomal RNA". It matches the Rfam family "Bacterial small subunit ribosomal RNA", at positions 28 to 507 of the family's 1533-position model. The record is from RNAcentral.